GGGACGGGGCCUGCAGGCAGAAGUGGGGCUGACAGGGCAGAGGGUUGCGCCCCCUCACCACCCCUUCUGCCUGCAGCGGUGGGCU
Molecule: microRNA precursor, 85 nt
Filed under: Pan troglodytes (chimpanzee)
Lineage: Eukaryota; Metazoa; Chordata; Mammalia; Primates; Hominidae
Also listed under: 1 other name
Description: miRNA (ENSPTRG00000048573.1)
Rfam family: mir-6511 microRNA precursor family (bases 10-76)
Source: RNAcentral